This 460-nucleotide ribosomal RNA is filed under the name uncultured bacterium. RNAcentral's name for it is "partial 16S ribosomal RNA". It matches the Rfam family "Bacterial small subunit ribosomal RNA", at positions 338 to 795 of the family's 1533-position model. The record is from RNAcentral.
CCUACGGGGGGCUGCAGUGAGGAAUAUUGGUCAAUGGACGAGAGUCUGAACCAGCCAAGUAGCGUGAAGGAUGACUGCCCUAUGGGUUGUAAACUUCUUUUAUAUGGGAAUAAAACGUUCCACGUGUGGGAUUUUGUAUGUACCAUAUGAAUAAGGAUCGGCUAACUCCGUGCCAGCAGCCGCGGUAAUACGGAGGAUCCGAGCGUUAUCCGGAUUUAUUGGGUUUAAAGGGAGCGUAGGUGGAUUGUUAAGUCAGUUGUGAAAGUUUGCGGCUCAACCGUAAAAUUGCAGUUGAAACUGGCAGUCUUGAGUACAGUAGAGGUGGGCGGAAUUCGUGGUGUAGCGGUGAAAUGCUUAGAUAUCACGAAGUACUCCGAUUGCGAAGGCAGUUCACUGGACUGCAACUGACACUGAGGCUCGAAAGUGUGGGUAUCAAACAGGAUUAGAUACCCUGGUAGUC